This 81-nucleotide ribosomal RNA is filed under the name Prevotella sp. RNAcentral describes it as "partial 16S ribosomal RNA". It matches the Rfam family "Bacterial small subunit ribosomal RNA", at positions 1 to 76 of the family's 1533-position model. The record is from RNAcentral. Lineage: Bacteria; Pseudomonadati; Bacteroidota; Bacteroidia; Bacteroidales; Prevotellaceae.
AAUUUACAAUGAAGAGUUUGAUCCUGGCUCAGGAUGAACGCUAGCUACAGGCUUAACACAUGCAAGUCGAGGGGCAUCAUG